UCAUCCCCUGGUACAGAGCUUCUAAGA
This 27-nucleotide non-coding RNA is filed under the name Homo sapiens (human). Lineage: Eukaryota; Metazoa; Chordata; Mammalia; Primates; Hominidae. The record is from RNAcentral.